GUUUUAAUAGUUUAUAAUAAAAUAAUGAUCUUGUAAAUCAUAGAUAGAAUUAAUCUUUAAAACU
RNAcentral lists this transfer RNA (64 nucleotides) under Homoeocerus unipunctatus. Its description in RNAcentral is "tRNA-Thr". Lineage: Eukaryota; Metazoa; Arthropoda; Insecta; Hemiptera; Coreidae. The record is from RNAcentral.